GUGGAUUUGAUACCCGAGUAGUCCACGCCGUAAACGAUGAGUGCUAGGCGCCGGAGGAUUGACCCCGUCGGUGCCGCAGCUAACGCGUUAAGCACUCCGCCUGGGGAGUACGGUCGCAAGACUAAAACUCAAAGGAAUUGACGGGGGCCCGCACAAGCGGUGGAGCAUGUGGUUUAAUUCGACGCUACGCGCAGAACCUUACCUGGGUUAAAUCCACCAGAACCUGGCCCAAAAGCCGGGGUGCCCUUCGGGGAAUUGGUGAGAAGGUGCUGCACGGCUGUCGUCAGCU
This 289-nucleotide ribosomal RNA is filed under the name uncultured bacterium. RNAcentral's name for it is "partial 16S ribosomal RNA". It matches the Rfam family "Bacterial small subunit ribosomal RNA", at positions 773 to 1060 of the family's 1533-position model. The record is from RNAcentral.